AGUCAAGGCCCCCAGGUAUCUGGCACAACCCCGGCAAUAUGCAAAGCCUCCUCUAAUGAUGGUUGAAUCCAGGAGACCCCAACCGCUGUGAUGGAAACCUCGCCACCUCCAGAGGCAGCCGAUGACUCCUGGGGCAGCCCCACCCGGCUCAAAGGCAACCUGCUCCACAGAGCCAGCCCCAUCCCUAGGCUUGGAGCCAAACAGGAUUGCUCCUUCAUAAGAAAAAAAAAUCAGAGCUACAGAGUCAGCCGUCUUAAAAAGCUCCCUGCAUUCUUGCCUUGCCCAGCCAAGCAGCCUCAGGUCCCCCUGCUCCCUGUACCUGGCUGGGCUCAGAGCCACUCUCAACCACAUAUUUUUUAAGUCCUUUGUCCCAGACUAUGAACGGCAUGGAAACCAAUUGAGGACUGGGGGUGGCAGCUUGUGUGUGUGACUGCUUGAGCUCUGGAGGGUCCUUCUACUGUCAGCGCCUCCCCAUCCCCCACCCCCAUUCUUCUGUGAUGGCCCCGAGUGUCUGUAAUGCAUCCCUCAACUUUUCAUCUGCCAGUGAGACUCACAGAGCAAAUAGCCCAAGGAAAGACAAACUAUGGAUCAAACUCAUACUAAAGUAUAAAUGACUUUCUUCUCCCAGAUCAUUUUGAUAGUGAACAGGACAAUCAGCAUCAGGCCCACAGACGGCGAGGGAUGGAAGGAGUGGAGGAAGAGAACUUCCCACGGCAAGGGGAAAGGGAAGAAGGAAGAGGCUUGGAGGAAGGGGGACAAGGAAAACUUUUAUUUCCUUCUCAUCUGGCCUGGACUGAGCCAGCUCUUCCUUACCUGCUGCCCCAAACAGGGAGGCCAGCAUAGCCAGAGAGGGGGCCAGCGUGUGUCUGAUCCCAGGGGCAAUAUUAAAGUUUGCCUCAGUCCAGGGCGCCCAUCUGAAAAAUCAGGGCAAAAACAGGACUAAGAACAAAGGAGAAAAAGGCUAAGAGCAAGGGACCACACAGGAACUGAGAAAUGAUUUCUCAGCUAAGCGUCUGGCCUUUGGAGAUGCCUCCCUGCCCAUCUGUGUGGCUGGGGUCAGAGAACCCCCACCAGGAGGGUGAGGGGGAGUGAAGAAGGGUGAAGAAGAGACCUGGGGCUCUUCCCGGAGAGUGUGCGUGAGAGCCAGGGGCUGGCUGAGAGGCCACUGGCUUCCAGAUGUCCCAGCCUCCAUCAGGCCAGACCUACUCCUGCAGGCCAGGGUUGCAACCCCAUCAACAUGAUAUAGGGAGCCCGAGGGAAGCAGGACAAACUCUGCCUGAUGUUCCUUCCCUCCAUCAGCCAUCAAUCCCCCAGUACAAUGAGACGGUCCUCUCAGCUGUGCCCAGCCACAGAAACAGCCUCUGUGCCUUGGGAAAAAAUGAUGUUGGCGGGCUACACCCCAUUCACACUCAUGAAUCCACUCCAGAAGUCUGAAGACUUUUUCCCCAGGACAUCUAGCACAAUGUUGAAAAGUAUGGCCCAGACCCUAUCAGAAUAAUCCCAGCCCAUCAUAGCAAAAUUGGUGAAAACAAAAAAAAGGGAAAAAUGACAAAACAGCCAGAGGAAAAAGACAUCUAUUUUCAAAAGAUUAAUAAUAAGGCAAAUGGCUGACUUUUCAACAGAAGCAAUAGAAACCAAAGACAAUAGAGUGACAUAUUGAAAUUGCUGAAAGAAAAUUACUGCCAAUCUAGGGUUCUGUAUCUAGAGAAAAUAUCUUUCAAAAAUGAAAACAAAAUAAAUAUGUUUUUGGAUGAAAAAAAAAAAAAAA
RNAcentral lists this long non-coding RNA (1768 nucleotides) under Homo sapiens (human). RNAcentral describes it as "long independently transcribed non-coding RNA 2753 (LINC02753)". Lineage: Eukaryota; Metazoa; Chordata; Mammalia; Primates; Hominidae. The record is from RNAcentral.